This 434-nucleotide ribosomal RNA is filed under the name Bacillus toyonensis. RNAcentral's name for it is "bacterial SSU rRNA". It matches the Rfam family "Bacterial small subunit ribosomal RNA", at positions 134 to 553 of the family's 1533-position model. The record is from RNAcentral. Lineage: Bacteria; Bacillati; Bacillota; Bacilli; Caryophanales; Bacillaceae.
AAGACUGGGAUAACUCCGGGAAACCGGGGCUAAUACCGGAUAAUAUUUUGAACUGCAUAGUUCGAAAUUGAAAGGCGGCUUCGGCUGUCACUUAUGGAUGGACCCGCGUCGCAUUAGCUAGUUGGUGAGGUAACGGCUCACCAAGGCAACGAUGCGUAGCCGACCUGAGAGGGUGAUCGGCCACACUGGGACUGAGACACGGCCCAGACUCCUACGGGAGGCAGCAGUAGGGAAUCUUCCGCAAUGGACGAAAGUCUGACGGAGCAACGCCGCGUGAGUGAUGAAGGCUUUCGGGUCGUAAAACUCUGUUGUUAGGGAAGAACAAGUGCCAGUUGAAUAAGCUGGCACCUUGACGGUACCUAACCAGAAAGCCACGGCUAACUACGUGCCAGCAGCCGCGGUAAUACGUAGGUGGCAAGCGUUAUCCGGAAUUA